Molecule: ribosomal RNA, 443 nt
Filed under: uncultured bacterium
Lineage: Bacteria
Description: partial 16S ribosomal RNA
Rfam family: Bacterial small subunit ribosomal RNA
Source: RNAcentral
CCUACGGGAGGCAGCAGUGGGGAAUAUUGGGCAAUGGGCGCAAGCCUGACCCAGCAACGCCGCGUGAAGGAAGAAGGCUUUCGGGUUGUAAACUUCUUUUCUCAGGGACGAAGAAAGUUACGGUACCUGAGUAAUAAGCCACGGCUAACUACGUGCCAGCCGCCGCUGUAAUACGUAGGUGGCAAGCGUUAUCCGGAGUUAUUGGGUGUAAAGGGCGUGUAGGCGGGAGCGCAAGUCAGAUGUGAAAACUCAGGGCUCAACCCUGGGCCUGCAUUUGAUACUGUGUUUCUUGAGUGCUGGAGAGGCAAUCGGAAUUCCGUGUGUAGCGGUGAAAUGCGUAGAUAUACGGAGGAACACCAGUGGCGAAGGCGGAUUGCUGGACAGUAACUGACGCUGAGGCGCGAAAGCGUGGGGAGCAAACAGGAUUAGAUACCCCAGUAGUC